This 253-nucleotide ribosomal RNA is filed under the name uncultured bacterium. Its description in RNAcentral is "partial 16S ribosomal RNA". It matches the Rfam family "Bacterial small subunit ribosomal RNA", at positions 524 to 776 of the family's 1533-position model. The record is from RNAcentral.
UACGAAGGGGGCUAGCGUUGCUCGGAAUCACUGGGCGUAAAGGGUGCGUAGGCGGGUCUUUAAGUCAGGGGUGAAAUCCCGGAGCUCAACUCCGGAACUGCCUUUGAUACUGGGGAUCUUGAGUUCGGGAGAGGUGAGUAGAACUGCGAGUGUAGAGGUGAAAUUCGUAGAUAUUCGCAAGAACACCAGUGGCGAAGGCGGCUCACUGGCCCGAUACUGACGCUGAGGUGCGAAAGCGUGGGGAGCAAACAGG